RNAcentral lists this ribosomal RNA (1232 nucleotides) under metagenome. Its description in RNAcentral is "bacterial SSU rRNA". It matches the Rfam family "Bacterial small subunit ribosomal RNA", at positions 8 to 1195 of the family's 1533-position model. The record is from RNAcentral.
AGAGUUUGAUUCUGGCUCAGAACGAACGCUGGCAGCGUGGAUUAGGCAUGCAAGUCGAACGGGAAUCCGGGAGUUCAAGUUUUCGGACAAGAUCUCCCGGAGGAGAGUGGCGGAAGGGUGAGUAACGCGUGGGUAACCUGCCUCUGAAUUGGGGACAACUCCGCGAAAGCGGGGCUAAUACCGAAUGCGGUCGAGUGUCGCAUGGGACAACGAUUAAAGAUAGGGAUCCUUCGGGACCUGUCGUUCAGAGAGGGGCCCGCGUGCCAUCAGCUUGUUGGUGGGGUAAUGGCCCACCAAGGCUUACGGCUAGGUGGUCUGAGAGGACGAUCACCCACACUGGGACUGAGACACUGCCCAGACUCCUACGGGAGGCUGCAGUCGAGGAUCAUUGUCAAUGCGCGAAAGCGUGAACAUGCGACGCUGCGUGGAGGAUGACUGCCUUCGGGUUGUAAACUCCUGUCAUUCGGGAAAAUGGUCCUACUCCUAAUAGGGGUGGGAUUUGAUGGUACCGGAAGAGGAAGCCACGGCUAACUCUGUGCCAGCAGCCGCGGUAAUACAGAGGUGGCGAGCGUUGUUCGGAUUUACUGGGCGUAAAGGGUGCGUAGGUGGCACUGUGUGUUGGAUGUGAAAUCCCAUGGCUCAACCGUGGAAUGGCAUUCGAAACUGCAGAGCUAGAGUGCAGGAGGGGAGAGCGGAAUUCUAGGUGUAGCGGUGAAAUGCGUUGAUAUCUAGAAGAACACCGGUGGCGAAGGCGGCUCUCUGGAAAGUUACUGACACUGAGGCACGAAAGCUGGGGGAGCAAACAGGAUUAGAUACCCUGGUAGUCCCAGCCGUAAACGGUGCACACUUGGUGUAGGGGGUAUUGACCCCCCCUGUGCCGGAGCUAACGCGUUAAGUGUGCCGCCUGGGGAGUACGGCCGCAAGGCUAAAACUCAAAGAAAUUGACGGGGGCCCGCACAAGCGGAGGAGCAUGUGGCUUAAUUCGAUGCAACGCGAAGAACCUUACCAGGGCUUGACAUGCAGCUGCUCAUCCGGUGAAAGCCGGACUCUUUCGAAGGUGCUGCACAGGUGCUGCAUGGCUGUCGUCAGUUCGUGCCGUGAGGUGUUGGGUUAAGUCCCGCAACGAACGCAACCCUUGUGUUUAGUUGCCACCGGAGGUGAUGAGCCUUCGAGCACUCUAGACAGACUGCCCGUACAAGCGGGAGGAAGGUGGGGAUGACGUCAAGUCAGUA